GAUGAACGCUGGCGGCGUGCUUAACACAUGCAAGUCGAACGGUGAAGGUGGGAGCUUGCUCCUGCUGGAUCAGUGGCGAACGGGUGAGUAACACGUGAGUAACCUGCCCCGGACUCUGGGAUAAGCGUUGGAAACGACGUCUAAUACCGGAUACGAGACGAGAAGGCAUCUUCAUCGUCUGGAAAGAUUUUUUGGUCUGGGAUGGACUCGCGGCCUAUCAGGUUGUUGGUGAGGUAAUGGCUCACCAAGCCUACGACGGGUAGCCGGCCUGAGAGGGUGACCGGCCACACUGGGACUGAGACACGGCCCAGACUCCUACGGGAGGCAGCAGUGGGGAAUAUUGCACAAUGGGCGAAAGCCUGAUGCAGCAACGCCGCGUGAGGGACGACGGCCUUCGGGUUGUAAACCUCUUUUAGUAGGGAAGAAGCGAAAGUGACGGUACCUGCAGAAAAAGCACCGGCUAACUAUGUGCCAGCAGCCGCCGCCG
RNAcentral lists this ribosomal RNA (487 nucleotides) under uncultured bacterium. RNAcentral's name for it is "partial 16S ribosomal RNA". It matches the Rfam family "Bacterial small subunit ribosomal RNA", at positions 28 to 523 of the family's 1533-position model. The record is from RNAcentral.